AACGAACGCUGGCGGCAGGCCUAACACAUGCAAGUCGAACGCUGUAGCAAUACAGAGUGGCAGACGGGUGAGUAACACGUGGGAAUCUUCCUAUCGGUACGGAAUAGCUCAGGGAAACUUGAGGUAAUACCGCAUACGCCCUUCGGGGGAAAGAUUUAUCGCCGAUAGAUGAGCCCGCGUCUGAUUAGCUAGUUGGUGAGGUAAUGGCUCACCAAGGCGACGAUCAGUAGCUGGUCUGAGAGGAUGACCAGCCACACUGGGACUGAGACACGGCCCAGACUCCUACGGGAGGCAGCAGUGGGGAAUAUUGGACAAUGGGCGCAAGCCUGAUCCAGCCAUGCCGCGUGAGUGACGAAGGUCUUCGGAUUGUAAAGCUCUUUUGCCAGGGACGAUAAUGACGGUACCUGGAGAAUAAGCCCCGGCUAACUUCGUGCCAGCUGCCGCUGUAA
This 449-nucleotide ribosomal RNA is filed under the name uncultured bacterium. RNAcentral describes it as "partial 16S ribosomal RNA". It matches the Rfam family "Bacterial small subunit ribosomal RNA", at positions 29 to 523 of the family's 1533-position model. The record is from RNAcentral.